Oncorhynchus tshawytscha (Chinook salmon) is the source of this 618-nucleotide long non-coding RNA. The record is from Ensembl. Lineage: Eukaryota; Metazoa; Chordata; Actinopteri; Salmoniformes; Salmonidae.
GUUAUUAGUAUUGUUGAGCUGUGGCGGGUUAUUAGUAUUGUUGAGCUGUGGUGGGUUAUUAGUGUUGUUGAGCUGUGGCGGGUUAUUAGUAUUGUUGAGCUGUGGCGGGUUAUUAGUGUUAUUGAGCUGUGGCGGGUUAUUAGUGUUGUUGAGCUGUGGCGGGUUAUUAGCGUUGUUGAGCUGUGGUGUGUUGUUGAGCUGUUAUUAGCAUUGUUGAGCGGUGGUGGGUUAUUAGUGUUAUUGAGCUGUUAUUAGCGUUGUUGAGCUGUGGUGUGUUAUUAGUGGCGUUGAGCUGUUAUUAGUGUUGUUGAGCUAUGGUGGGUUAUUAGUGUUGUUGAGCUGUGGUGGGUCAUUAGUGUUGUUGAGGUGUUAUUAGUGCUGUUGAGGUGUUAUUAGUGUUGUUGAGCUGUGGUGGGUUAUUAGUGUUGUUGAGCGGUGGUGGGUUAUUAGUGUUAUUGAGCUGUUAUUAGCGUUGUUGAGGUGUUAUUAGUGUUGUUGAGCUGUUAUUAGUGUUGUUGAGGUGUUAUUAGUGUUGUUGAGCUGUUAUUAGUGUUGUUGAGGUGUUAUUAGUGUUGUUGAGCUGUGGUGGGUUAUUAGUGUUGUUGAGCUGUGGUGGGU